UCCCGUGUGGCUCAGUUGGUAGAGCAUGGUGUUUGCAACGCCAGGGUUGUGGGUUUGAUUCCCACGGGGGAU
Salmo salar (Atlantic salmon) is the source of this 72-nucleotide non-coding RNA. NCBI's taxonomy places the organism in Eukaryota, Metazoa, Chordata, Actinopteri, Salmoniformes, Salmonidae. The record is from Rfam.